CUGCAUUUCUUUUCAUCCUCAACCACAAAUGAAGUGUCUGCUUGCCCAACUCUCAUAUUCUUCAAGCUCAAGAAGGUGCCAUUCUUCCCACAUGCGGCAGCGCUUCUGAUGCAACCGCUGGAGAAAUCUUCAUUCCCCCUAUUUUCCUGUGAGUUAGGCUUAAAUCCGGGCAAACAUCUGCAAGGCAACCUAUUGUAUAGAUUGCAGCUUCCAAAAGUUCCCACAGGCAUUAAACACACUGCAUUUGUCUCUCGGCUCAAACCAUCGCAAAGACCAAUUUGUAUACACAUCGAAGUUCCAGUAUUGUAGCUCCCCUUCAACAUCCAACCUAAUCCUUGAAUUACUAAAAUAUGAGCGUGAUAGAGUUGUAUUUGUAGUAGAUGGAGUUGUUAUGUUGAAUAUUGAAUUUGUAGGAGGUACAAUGCUGGUGAAGUUCGAUAGAAAAUAUACUAUUCCAUCAGGCAUACUUUCUGAGCUAAAGAAAUCACUUGACUCCCCACUAGUCCAAUGCUUUAUAUGGUCAAUAUUGUCGAUAACAAACUGGCCCCCUUCUUCAUCUAGCUGAAAUGUGAAGUUACCUUCUUGUGGAUCAACUUCACUUUUCCAUGACGUCAAAUUUAGAUCCCCACUCAUCUUCAUACCUGGAAGAAAUGUAUCAGUUGGAUGGUCAAAGCUUUGCCAUAGAAUAGUUGCCAAAAGGGUAUUACUAUCACACAAAACCAAGUUCCCAGAAUCUAAGAGCUUAGCCAACCCAUUCGCUGGUUUUGAUGUUGAUUCAAGCUCUGUAGACCAAAAAGGAUCUCUAUUUUUAUCCAAAAUCUUGAGGUUUCCAUCAUCUGUGACAGCCAAAACUGCUCCAUCAUCAAGAAGUGGGCUGUGUCGAUUGGCAACCCACACAACUAUUCGUGGAGUCGACCCGUAAUACCAAAUUCCUACGUAGCUUUUAUUUUGUUCAGGAGUAAAGAACCCCAGUUCAAACCUUUUUCCUGCUGAAACAAGAGUUUCUCCACCAUGAUUAGUAAUCAAAUUACCAGCAUAUGUGAUCGUAUCUCCAGCAAAGCAACAUAAAAGGGAGGAGCAUAAUAAGAAUGCAUAAGAAAAGAAAACGGUUGAUAGCAUGCUAUGCAUUGCACAUAGAUCUCUCUGGUUAAGACCUCUUCUUACCAUCAACCAUAACCAUGAAUGUAUCACUAAGGCCAACUGCAAAGCAAAUUUUCACUGCACUUGUUCUUUGUUGACGCUGACCAUAAAUGAAGGGAGAGGAUGCUUCACUAAACUUAUAUUAAUUUAGAAUAGUUAAUCAUUAGAACACGACAACAUUUUCCUAGUCACCGACUAAAAUCUAACAGUGGAAAUAUGGUAUGGUAGUGCUUAUUUUUAAAAUAUAUUUUAUUUAAUAAUAUAUUAAAAUAAUAUUUUAUUAUUUUAAAAAAUUAUUUUUGAUGUUAAUUUAUUAAAAUAAUUUAAAAAUAUGUAUAUAAAAUUAAUUUUUAAAAAAUAAAAUUUAAUAAAACAUUGUUUGAAAUACAAUUUUAAAUAACCAUAUCAGUCUUAAUUACCAAUGGUGAUAGAGUUGUAGAGUGAGGUUAUAAUAAAGAUAAUACUGGCAAAGUAAAAAAUAAUUAUGGCAACAGUGAUAAUGAUAUUCCAUGUAAUGAGAAGAUAAGAUUUUGAUGAUUAAGAUUGUUGGAUGAUUUUGUGUAUAAAUUAUUAUUUAUAAAAUAUUUUAUCUUGUAAAAGAUUGUUAUUUUAUUAUUUUUAAAAAAUUAUUUUUGAUAUCAAAAUAUAAAAAAUAUAAAAAAUUAAUUUUUUUUAAAAUCAAAAUUUAAUAAAACAUCAUUUAAAAUACAAUUUCAAAUAACUUUAUUUGGCUAUUUAAAAUGUAUUAAAUAAUAUUUUUGUUAUUUUUAAAAAAACUAUUUUUGACAUUAAUAUAUCAAAAUAAUCUAAAAUUUAAAAAAUAAAUUUAAAAAAUUAAAAUGUAAUAAAACACCAUAAAUACAGUUUCAAAUACCUUUAUCUGGCUUAAAUUUUCUUUAAUGGUGGUACCCGGCCAUGGCGAUAGAGUUGCCGUAGUGGGGUGGUAAUGAAAAUAGCAACAGUGAUGAUAAUAUUGCAUGUAGUGAUGAUGAUAAUUAAGAUUUUAAAUAAAAAAAUUAUAAUUUAAUGAGAAACACAAUUUAAAACAACUUUAUCUAGCUUAAAUUUUCUUUAAUGGUGGUACCAUAGUGAUAGAGUUGCCGUAGUGGGGUGGUAAUGAAGAUAGCAACAGUGAUGAUAAUAAUGCAUGUAGUGAUGAUGAUAAGAUUUUGAUGGUUAAGAUUGUUGGAUGAUUUUGUGUGUAAAUUAUUAUUUAAAAAAGUUUAAAAAAUAUUUUAUUUUGUUAAAUAUUUUAUUUAAAACAAAUUCCUUCUUAAACUACCCAUAAAUAAUUAAAUUGCUUGCUGCAGGCGUGUUCUUUUCUUUUCAAGUCUUGGCUCUCCUUUUCCCACGCAAUUUUCUGUGGCAACAAGGGCCCGUCAAGGCAUUUUUCAACUUUAUGCAUUCAUGCUUUCAUGUCCACUCUUUCUGUAAGUAUAUCCUUCAUUUUGACAAAACCCACUAUUCCAUCCUAUAUUUUCACCAAACUUGUCAAAAGAGUCCCUCCAUUAUUAAUUUGGUCAAUUGAGCAUAUGUUUUUUCAAAUUUCAGUCAAUUGAGUAAAAUUUUCCGAAAUUAAAGAUUUAUCUCUAUCAAUUGAGAAAUUCUUCUUCACAACCUUAAUGCUUUGAAGUAUAAUAGAAAUAUUAAUAUUUAUAACACAAAUAAUAGUAUUUUUAAUUAUUAAAUACCUUCAAUUAUAAUAAAAAUAAUAAUAUUUAUGUCACAAAUAAUAAUAAUAAUUUUAUCUUUCAAAUCAACUAUAUGGCUUUUCUUUGGUGGUUAUUAUUAUUAUUAUCAUGGGGAAAAGUCUUAUUCAUCAAAACUCAUUGCACUGUGAGUUGCACAUUUGGGAGGGGGGACAUGGUGUGAUGUAGCCCAAGGCCACAAACACCUGGCACAAGGGCAAUCAUGCUCAGCCAUAUAGAGUUCCAAGGUUGCAGGGGGAGGUUGCGCCCCAGGCUGCGGACACCUAGCGCUUGGGCUAUCAUCAUUCCUGGCGCUAGGGCCAGACCUGCGAGCCUGACUGCUCAUCCAAGCCAGCAGGUUUGUUGACCUGUGCGCUGGGUCCGAACAUGGAUCCCUUUCUGUUGGGUCAGGCAUCCUGACCUAAAUCGCUUGUAUCUGGACACAAACCCAGCACCUUUGGGUCCGGACACGGCCCAACCCCCAACCCCUUGAGGUCCAAACACGAAAGGACCCAAACCCCUUGAGUCCGAACACCGUAAGACCCAAACCCCAACCCUUUAGGUUCGGACAUGGCCCCAUCCCCAAUCCGUUGGGUCUGAACACGGACCCAUCCCCCAACCCCUUUGGGUCCCCACCCCGCCCAACACGCAACCCCAACCCCCAACCCCCUUGGGUCCCCACCCCGCCCAACCCCCUUGGUUCCGGGCAUGGACCCAACCCCCAUUGGGUCUGGGCAUAAACCCAACCCCCAAAUCCCUUGGGUCCAGACACCGAAGGACCCAAAUCCCUUGAGUCAAGACACCAAAGGACCCAAACCCUAACCACGGGGUCCGAAGAUGGACCUAACCCCUUGGGUCUAGAUACAGCCCAAUCCCCAAGCCCCUUGGUUUAGGGCUACGUACCCAAAUCCCAAGCCCUUUGGGUCUGGACACGGACCCAUCCCCUAACCUACUUGGGUCCCCACCCCGCCCAACCCCCAACUCCCUUGGGUCUGGACACGAAAUAACCUAAACCCCUUGGGUCUGGACACCGAAGACCCGAACCUUAACCCCUUUGGUCCGGACACGAACCCAAUCCCCUUGGGUUUGGGCACGGACCCAACCUCCCUUGGAUCCGGACACGGAAGGAACCAACCCCCAACCCCCUUGGGUUUGGGCACGGACUCAACCUCCCUUGGAUCCGGACACGGAAGGAACCAACCCCUUGGGUCCCCACCCCGCCCAACCCCAACCCCCUUGGGUUUGGGCAUGGACCCAACCCUAAACCCCCAUUGGAUCCGGACAUGGAAGGAACAAAACCCCUUGGAUUCGGACACCGAAAGACCUAAACCCCAAUCCCUGUGUCCGGACACGGACCCAACCCCUUUGGUAUUGUUCCACCAAUACAAUGUUAGCUGUUUACAAUUUAUAAAGACAAUGACAUGCGUAUUUUUUGUUGUGCAGGAUUGCAAGGCCUGAGCCAACAUGUAUGUUGAUACAGCUGCUAGAAGAGCUACAUCUUAUUUUUUAUUUUUGUAUUGAAAAAAAAUUAAAAGCUCUUGCUCAUUUCCAUCUGCUGAAUCAUGAAGCUUUUAUAUUAAUGUUUUUGUUGUUUGGUGUGUUGGUGUAAUACAACAACAUACAUUACUUUUCUAUGUAUUGUGUCUUCUAGCUAUGCUAAACCUUGCAUCAUGCAGUAAAAAUGAUAAAUUUUAUUUCAGAAUUAAAAAAAUCUAUUACAUGUUUCCAUCUUAGAAUAUGUUGUUUUUUCACAUUAGUUUUUAACCAUUUGGUUAGGGUUUUUUUUUUAUCUUUUUAAAAAGAAUACACAAGGUGCCAAGACUUGUUAUUAUUAGAAAAAAAAAAAAAGUGAAUUUGAUUUCAAAUAUAAAAUUAAAAACUAUAAAAACUUAGAAAUUUUUUUUUUUAACCCACGUUGUUUUAAACACAAAUAUUUUUUUAAUACCAUUUUUUAAAAUAUUUAUAACAUAAAUAAUACUAUUUUUAAUAUUAAUACCAUCAAUUAUAAUAAAAAUAAUAAUAUUUAUAGCACAAAUAAUAAUAAUAAUAAUACUUUUAAUUUUAUCCUUCAAAUCAACUAAAUGAUUUUUCUUUGGUGGUAAUAAUAUUUUAUUUCAAAUUUAUUAAUGACUAAUGAUAAUAAGAACAAUAAUUUAUACCUUUACCCUACAAAUAAGUCCUAUACUAGGACCUAAUGGUAAUGGGUCUUGCUUCAAGACCUAAUUUCUAUGGGUCCUCGCCAGGCCUAAAUAAUUUGUGUUAUAAAUAUUCUUUGGUUUUUUUAAUAUAAUAAUUUAUAUUAUAAAUAUUAUUAUUUCUAUUAUAAUUUAAAGUGUUCAUAUAAAAAAUAUUAUUAUUUUUGUUAUAAUUUAAAGUGUUCAUAUCUAAAAUAUUAUUAUUUUUAUUAUAACUCAAAGUAUUGAUAUAAAAAAUAUUAUUAUUUGUGUUAUAAAUAUUAUUAUUUUUAUUAUAAUUCUAAAUAUUCAUAUCAAAAAUAGUAUUAUUUGUGUUAUAAAUAUUAUUAGUUUUAUUAUAAUUAAUAUUAUUAAUAAAAUAAUUAAUAAAUUUAAAAAAUAUAUUAUUUUUUAUAUUAUAAUUUUUUAUAGUAUUUUUUAUGAAAAUAAAAAGUGAGCUCGCCACGUAGCACGGACACCCAACUAGUAUAUAUUAAAGGGUUUCAAAUCUCACACUGAAAAAAUAACUUUUUUCUUGUGAACAUAGAGUAUAUAUACUAAAGGGUUUCAAACCUCACUUUGAAAAGAUAUUAUGCUAUUCUUUUAAGUUGAAAUAUUUAAACCAAAAUUUUUUUUUAUCCCACAUUGAAAAAACAUAAUUUUUUUUCUUGUGAAUAUAGAGUAUAUACUAAAAGGUUCGAAUCUCACAUUGAAAAAAUAACUUCUUUUUUUGUGAACAUAUAAUAUAUAUACUAAAGGGCUUGAAAUCUUAUAUUGAAAAAAAUAAUUUUUUUCUUACGAACAUAGAGUAUAUAUACUAAAGAGUUUCAAAUCCAACAUUAAAAAAAUAAAAUAUAAUACUAGUAUUUAUAAAGUAAACUUUAAAAAUGAUUAAUAACCAACUAAAAAAAUAUAAAAAAAGAGUGGUUUAGGAGAUAAACCACAUUUGAAAAGAAAAAAAAUCUCAUCCGAGUUUACCUAGUUCAACCCGCCAGGUUUUUACACUAGCCGAUCUUGUAUCUUACCCGAACCGAUCUAGCCAAUAAAUCAACCGGAUCAAGUUUAAUUCUAUGCUUUGAAUGCGAUUUUUUUUAUAAUAGGAAGUUGUUUUAAUGUUUUUAAUAAAUAAAUAAAUAAAUUGGGUUUUAACUUAAUCACCUAGGUUUAAUCUAAUUAAUUCCUAUAUUAUUUUUAAAAACCUAACCUGCGCUGAGCCGAGUUUAACAACAUUAUCACUAACUAGUUGUAAGCAAAUGGAGGAGUGAUAAGAAUAUGCCUGGCAGUUGCAGUUGCAUUUGCCAAGGCACUUGUUCAUACAGUCAUUUUCAUCUGAGUAGUCAGGUUCAGCAUCAGGCUUUCCUGCUUUCAUCGAUUUUAAUCCAUAAAGUUAUAGUGGUUGGGUGGUAAUGAAGAUAGCAAUUGUAAGGUGAAAAAUAAUGAUAGCAACCACGAUAAUGACUUUGCAUGUAGUGAUGAUCAUAAGAUUUUGAUGGCUAAGAUUGUUGAAUGAUUUUGUGUACAAAUUAUUAUUUAAAAAAUAUUUAAAAAAAUAUAAAAAUAUAUUUUAUCUUAAAAUAUUUUAUUCAAAACAAAUUCCUUCUUAAACUACCCGUAAAUAAUUAAAUUGUGCUGGCGACAGGCGUACGUGUUUUCUUUUACAACUCUUGGCUCUGCUUUCCCUCGCAAUUAUUUCUGUGGCAACAAGGACCCGUCAAGGCAUUUUUCAACUUUAUGCAUUCAUGCUUUCAUGUCCACUCGUUCUGUAAGUACAUUCUUCAUUUUGACAAAAGCCACUAUUUCCAUCCUAUAUUUUCACCAACUUGUCAAAAGAGUCCCUCCAUUAUUAAUUCGGUCAAUUGAGCACAUGUUUUUUCAAUGUCAGUCAAUUGAGUAAAAUUUUCUGAAAUUGAAGAUUUAUCUUGAUCAAUUGAGAAUUCUUCUUCACAGCCUGGGUUGUGUAGAGUUUAACAACAUUAUCACUAACUGGUUGUAAGCAAAUGGAGAAGAGUGAUAAGGAAUCAAAUAUCCAUGGAAUUCAAUACUUAUAGACAGAAACUAAAUUUGCUACCUGCGUUCUGCCACGAUCUGGAAUUAUUAUUUUUUAUGUAAAAAAAUGCUAAGAAAAAAAAAAGACUAAUUAGUAACUUAAAUAAUAUGAAUAAAAAAAAAUACAACGAUAAUAAAUUAAUUGAUAAGAAAAUUAACAACAAAUAAAAGCUAAACAGGAAUUGACUCAAGUCCAUCUAGAUUAUUAAACAUCCCAAAGUUAAAAGGGCGAAACUGAAAAAAUAUUAUUUUUUUUAAAAAAAAAACAAUGGUUAAAAUGGGUUAACUUGCAAAUUAUGCGAUCUUUGAUAUAAGAUUAGGAUAAUAUAAUGGAAAUGAAAGUAGAAAAAAAAGUUUGAAAGACAAUUCUUAACAAAUCAAAUAAGAACGUGAUAACUCUAUAGAAAAUAAAAUCAGAAUAAAAAAAAAGUCGAAACUCAAUUUCUAGCAAAAUGAAAUGUUGAAAGACAAAAAAAUAAUUUAAGAAAAAAAGAUCAAAAAAAUUUGAUUUCAGCCAACCCGGGUCAAAAUGCAAAAUCUUUGAUUUAGUUGUGAUACCAGAGUAACCGCGUUUGAAAUAAAAAUGAAUAAAAUCAUAAAAUUUAAUCAUCGAGCAACCCAAUCAUAGAGUUGCCGUAGUGGGGUGGUAAUGAAAAUAGCAACAGUGAUGAUAAUAUUGCAUGUAGUGAUGAUGAUAAUUAAGAUUUUAAAUAAAAAAAUUAUAAUUUAAUGAGAAACACAAUUUAAAACAACUUUAUCUAGCUUAAAUUUUCUUUAAUGGUGGUACCAUAGUGAUAGAGUUGCCGUAGUGGGGUGGUAAUGAAGAUAGCAACAGUGAUGAUAAUAAUGCAUGUAGUGAUGAUGAUAAGAUUUUGAUGGUUAAGAUUGUUGGAUGAUUUUGUGUGUAAAUUAUUAUUUAAAAAAUUUUAAAAAAUAUUUUAUUUUGUUAAAUAUUUUAUUUAAAACAAAUUCCUUCUUAAACUACCCAUAAAUAAUUAAAUUGCUUGCUGCAGGCGUGUUCUUUUCUUUUCAAGUCUUGGCUCUCCUUUUCCCACGCAAUUUUCUGUGGCAACAAGGGCCCGUCAAGGCAUUUUUCAACUUUAUGCAUUCAUGCUUUCAUGUCCACUCUUUCUGUAAGUAUAUCCUUCAUUUUGACAAAACCCACUAUUUCCAUCCUAUAUUUUCACCAACUUGUCAAAAGAGUCCCUCCAUUAUUAAUUUGGUCAAUUGAGCAUAUGUUUUUUCAAUUUCAGUCAAUUGAGUAAAAUUUUCCGAAAUUAAAGAUUUAUCUCUAUCAAUUGAGAAUUCUUCUUCACAACCUUAAUGCUUUGAAGUAUAAUAGAAAUAUUAAUAUUUAUAACACAAAUAAUAGUAUUUUUAAUAUUAAUACCUUCAAUUAUAAUAAAAAUAAUAAUAUUUAUGUCACAAAUAAUAAUAAUAAUUUUAUCUUUCAAAUCAACUAUAUGGCUUUUCUUUGGUGGUUAUUAUUAUUAUUAUCAUGGGGGAAAAGUCUUAUUCAUCAAAACUCAUUGCACUGUGAGUUGCACAUUUGGGAGGGGGGACAUGGUGUGAUGUAGCCCAAGGCACAAACACCUGGCACAAGGGCAAUCAUGCUCAGCCAUAUAGAGUUCCAAGGUUGCAGGGGGGAGGUUGCGCCCCAGGCUGCGGACACCUAGCGCUUGGGCUAUCAUUCCCUGGCGCUAGGGCCAGACCUGCGAGCCUGACUGCUCAUCCAAGCCAGCAGGUUUGUUGACCUGUGCGCUGGGUCCGAACAUGGAUCCCUUUCUGUUGGGUCAGGCAUCCUGACCUAAAUCGCUUGUAUCUGGACACAAACCCAGCACCUUUGGGUCCGGACACGGCCCAACCCCCAACCCCUUGAGGUCCAAACACGAAAGGACCAAACCCCUUGAGUCCGAACACCGUAAGACCCAAACCCCAACCCUUUAGGUUCGGACAUGGCCCCAUCCCCAAUCCGUUGGGUCUGAACACGGACCCAUCCCCCAACCCCUUUGGGUCCCCACCCCGCCCAACACGCAACCCCAACCCCCAACCCCCUUGGGUCCGAGUACAGACUUAUCCCCCAACCUUAUUGGGUCCCCACCCCGCCCAACCCCCAUUGGGUCUGGGCAUAAACCCAACCCCCAAAUCCCUUGGGUCCAGACACCGAAGGACCCAAAUCCCUUGAGUCAAGACACCAAAGGACCCAAACCCUAACCACGGGGUCCGAAGAUGGACCUAACCCCUUGGGUCUAGAUACGGCCCAAUCCCCAAGCCCCUUGGUUUAGGGCUACGUACCCAAAUCCCAAGCCCUUUGGGUCUGGACACGGACCCAUCCCCUAACCUACUUGGGUCCCCACCCGCCCAACCCCAACUCCCUUGGGUCUGGACACGAAAUAACCUAAACCCCUUGGGUCUGGACACCGAAGACCCCGAACCUUAACCCCUUUGGUCCGGACACGAACCAAUCCCCUUGGGUUUGGGCACGGACCCAACCUCCCUUGGAUCCGGACACGGAAGGAACCAACCCAACCCCUUGGGUUUGGGCACGGACUCAACCUCCCUUGGAUCCGGACACGGAAGGAACCAACCCCCUUGGGUCCCCACCCCGCCCAACCCCCAACCCCCUUGGGUUUGGGCAUGGACCCAACCCUAAACCCCCAUUGGAUCCGGACAUGGAAGGAACAAAACCCCUUGGAUUCGGACACCGAAAGACCUAAACCCCAAUCCCCUGUGUCCGGACACGGACCCAAACCCCUUUGGUAUUGUUCCACCAAUACAAUGUUAGCUGUUUACAAUUUAUAAAGACAAUGACAUGCGUAUUUUUUGUUGUGCAGAUUGCAAGGCCUGAGCCAACAUGUAUGUUGAUACAGCUGCUAGAAGAGCUACAUCUUAUUUUUUAUUUUUGUAUUGAAAAAAAAUUAAAAGCUCUUGCUCAUUUCCAUCUGCUGAAUCAUGAAGCUUUUAUAUUAAUGUUUUGUUGUUUGGUGUGUUGGUGUAAUACAACAACAUACAUUACUUUCUAUGUAUUGUGUCUUCUAGCUAUGCUAAACCUUGCAUCAUGCAGUAAAAAUGAUAAAUUUUAUUUCAGAAUUUAAAAAAAUCUAUUACAUGUUUCCAUCUUAGAAUAUGUUGUUUUUUCACAUUAGUUUUUAACCAUUUGGUUAGGGUUUUUUUUUUUUCUUUUUAAAAAGAAUACACAAGGUGCCAAGACUUUUAUUAGAAAAAAAAAAAAAGUGAAUUUGAUUUCAAAUAUAAAAUUAAAAACUAUAAAAACUUAGAAAUUUUUUUUUUAACCCACGUUGUUUUAAACACAAAUAUUUUUUAAUACCAUUUUUAAAAUAUUUAUAACAUAAAUAAUACUUUUUUAAUAUUAAUACCAUCAAUUAUAAUAAAAAAAUAAUAUUUAUAGCACAAAUAAUAAUAAUAAUAAUACUUUUAAUUUUAUCCUUCAAAUCAACUAAAUGAUUUUUCUUUGGUGGUAAUAAUAUUUUAUUUCAAAUUUAUUAAUGACUAAUGAUAAUAAGAACAAUAAUUUAUACCUUUACCCUACAAAUAAGUCCUAUACUAGACCUAAUGGUAAUGGGUCUUGCUUCAAGACCUAAUUUCUAUGGGUCCUCGCCAGGCCUAAAUAAUUUGUGUUAUAAAUAUUCUUUGGUUUUUUAAUAUAAUAAAUUUAUAUUAUAAUAUUAUUAUUUCUAUUAUAAUUUAAAGUGUUCAUAAAAAAUAUUAUUAUUUUUGUUAUAAUUUAAAGUGUUCAUAUCUAAAAUAUUAUUUUUAUUAUAACUCAAAGUAUUGAUAUAAAAAAAUAUUAUUAUUUGUGUUAUAAAUAUUAUUAUUAUUUAUAAUUCUAAAUAUUCAUAUCAAAAUAGUAUUAUUUGUGUUAUAAAUAUUAUUAGUUUUAUUAUAAUUAAUAUUAUUAAUAAAUAAUUAAUAAAUUUAAAAAAUAUAUUAUUUUUUAUAUUAUAAUUUUUAUAGUAUUUUUAUGAAAUAAAAAGUGAGCUCGCCACGUAGCACGGACACCCAACUAGUAUAUAUUAAAGGGUUUCAAAUCUCACACUGAAAAAAUAACUUUUUUCUUGUGAACAUAGAGUAUAUAUACUAAAGGGUUUCAAACCUCACUUUGAAAAGAUAUUAUGCUAUUCUUUUAAGUUGAAAUAUUUAAACCAAAAUUUUUUUUUUAUCCCACAUUGAAAAAACAUAAUUUUUUUUCUUGUGAAUAUAGAGUAUAUACUAAAAGGUUCGAAUCUCACAUUGAAAAAAUAACUUCUUUUUUUGUGAACAUAUAAUAUAUAUACUAAAGGGCUUGAAAUCUUAUAUUGAAAAAAAUAAUUUUUUUCUUACGAACAUAGAGUAUAUAUACUAAAGAGUUUCAAAUCCAACAUUAAAAAAAUAAAAUAUUAUACUAGUAUUUAUAAAGUAAACUUUAAAAAUGAUUAAUAACCAACUAAAAAAAUAUAAAAAAAGAGUGGUUUAGGAGAUAAACCACAUUUGAAAAGAAAAAAAAUCUCAUCCGAGUUUACCUAGUUCAACCCGCCAGGUUUUUACACUAGCCGAUCUUGUAUCUUACCCGAACCGAUCUAGCCAAUAAAUCAACCGGAUCAAGUUUAAUUCUAUGCUUUGAAUGCGAUUUUUUUUAUAAUAGGAAGUUGUUUUAAUGUUUUUAAUAAAUAAAUAAAUAAAUUGGGUUUUAACUUAAUCACCUAGGUUUAAUCUAAUUAAUUCCUAUAUUAUUUUUAAAAACCUAACCUGCGCUGAGCCGAGUUUAACAACAUUAUCACUAACUAGUUGUAAGCAAAUGGAGGAGUGAUAAGAAUAUGCUGGCAGUUGCAGUUGCAUUUGCCAAGGCACUUGUUCAUACAGUCAUUUUCAUCUGAGUAGUCAGGUUCAGCAUCAGGCUUUCCUGCUUUCAUCGAUUUUAAUCCAUAAAGUUAUAGUGGUUGGGUGGUAAUGAAGAUAGCAAUUGUAAGGUGAAAAUAAUGAUAGCAACCACGAUAAUGACUUUGCAUGUAGUGAUGAUCAUAAGAUUUUGAUGGCUAAGAUUGUUGAAUGAUUUUGUGUACAAAUUAUUAUUUAAAAAAUAUUUAAAAAAAUUAAAAUAUUUAUCUUAAAAUAUUUUAUUAAAAACAAAUUCCUUCUUAAACACCCGUAAAUAAUUAAAUUGUGCUGGCGACAGGCGUACGUGUUUUCUUUUACAACUCUUGGCUCUGCUUUCCCUCGCAAUUAUUUUCUGUGGCAACAAGGACCCGUCAAGGCAUUUUUCAACUUUAUGCAUUCAUGCUUUCAUGUCCACUCGUUCUGUAAGUACAUUCUUCAUUUUGACAAAAGCCACUAUUUCCAUCCUAUAUUUCACCAACUUGUCAAAAGAGUCCCUCCAUUAUUAAUUCGGUCAAUUGAGCACAUGUUUUUCAAUGUCAGUCAAUUGAGUAAAAUUUUCUGAAAUUGAAGAUUUAUCUUGAUCAAUUGAGAAUUCUUCUUCACAGCCUGGGUUGUGUAGAGUUUAACAACAUUAUCACUAAUUGGUUGUAAGCAAAUGGAGAAGAGUGAUAAGGAAUCAAAUAUCCAUGGAAUUCAAUACUUAUAGACAGAAACUAAAUUCGCUACCUGCGUUCUGCCACGAUCUGGAAUUAUUAUUUUUUAUGUAAAAAAAUGCUAAGAAAAAAAAAGGACUAAUUGGUAACUUAAAUAAAAAAAAUAAAAAAAAUACAACGAUAAUAAAUAAGUUGAUAAGAAAAUUAACAACAAAUAAAAGCUAAACAGGAAUUGACUCAAGUCCAUCUAGAUUAUUAAACAUCCCAAAGUUAAAAGGGCAAAACUGAAAAAAUAUUAUUUUAAAAAAGAAAAAACAAUGGUUAAAAUGGGUUAACUUACAAAUUAUGCGAUAUAAGAUUAGGAUAAUAUCAUGAAAAUGAAAGUAGGAAAAAAAGUUUGAAAGGAAAUUCCUAACAAAUCAAAUAAGAACGUGAUAACUCUAUAGAAAAUAAAAUCAAAAGAAAAAAAAGUUGAAACUCAAUUUCUAGCAAAAUGAAAUGUUGAAAGACAAAAAAAUAAAAAAUAUAUAUAAUUUAAAAAAAAGAUCAAAAAAUUUUGAUUUCAGCCAACCCGGGUCAAAAUGCAAAAUCUUUGAUUUAGUUGUGAUACCAGAGUAACCGCAUUUGAAAUAAAAAUGAAUAAAAUCAUAAAAUUUAAUCAUCGAGCAACCCAAUAUUGAAGGAAAAAAAUUAAAAAAUUAAUUAAAAAAAACUACGAAAAAAAAAUAUGAAUCGACUUGGGCUAACACGCUAACUAGACAAUCAUGGCCAUUAGAUCAGGUGAACCCAAUAGAAAUGAAAGGAAACAAAAGCACGAAGACCGAUUUCCUAUAUAUCUAAUGUUGAAUGAUAAAAUUAAAAUAAAUUAAUUUCAAAAAAAGACAAAAAAAAAAAGUCAACACACGUUAACCUUUAAAAUCAGUGAAUCAAGUCAUGAACUCGAGAUUAACAACAUAGAAAACAAACUGUAAAAUAUCACAAAGAAAAUCUCUAAAAAAAAAGUUAAAAAAAAUUAGCUUAAAAAAAAAAGAAAAAAAAGGAAGCAAACUGGGACAAAUUUCUUGAACUUGAUUUAAUCUCUAAAACUCGUACCUUGUGAAAUUCUAGACUUGCAUUGAAUCAAUAAGCAUAAUUCCCAAUUAGUUUAACAUAUCAAGUUUAAAAACUUUCUAAAGCAAAAAAAAAAUUAAAAAGAAUGAGGAUCAAAUUUGAUAGGAAAAAACUCAAAGGAUGGUGAAAUCAUAAAACAAAAUCAAUUUAAAGAAUGAUCUUAAACAAAAUAAAUAAUAAUAAAAAAAAAUGAAUAUCAAAUUUGAAAGAUGAGAAAAUUAAAGGGCGAUGAAAUUGAAAAGGCAUUUCAAUUUUAUAAAUUAUUCAAGAUAAAAAAAAUUAAAAAAAAUGACCAAAUCUAAUAAAUUAACAAGUUAAAGGGUUGUUUGGAAUUUUUAAGGGAUUAGCACGAAAAUCUAGGAGGAAAAAAGAAAAAAAAAUGGUUUGUGGUUUGUGUUUUUUCAAUAUGUGAUAAAAAAAAUUAGUUUAAAUACUUCAACUUAAAAAGAUAACAUAAUAACAUACUAACAUAAUAUAUUUUCAAUGUGGGAUAAAAAAAAUUUUAAAAUAUUUUUUAAAACUUUAUUAUUUAUAACAUGUAUAAUCUAUAUUUAUAUGAAUUGUUUUUUUAAUUUUUUCAUAUAAAAUAUUAAAACUUUAAAUAUAUAUUUUAAUUUUUUUCUAAGUUAAUUCGAGUUAAUCUAAAUCAACCUAUAUAAUUUAGGACCCAGCAGGUCAGCUUCCGGAUCGAAUCCAAUAACUAUGACUGAUGGUGAUAGGGUUAUACUGGUGGGGCGGUAAUGAGGAUAGUAAUUGUAAAGCGAAAAAUAAUAAUCAACAAUAAUGAUGAUUUUGCAUGCAAUGAUGAUAAGAUUUUGAUGGUUAAGAUUGUUGAAUGAUUAAUUUUGUGUACAAAUUAUUAUUUUAAAAAUAUAAAAAAUAUUUUAUCUUGUUAAAUAUUUUAUUCAAAACAAAUUCCUUCUUAAACUACCCAUAAAACAAUGUGCAUGCCUUGAUAUUAGUAUUGGUCUCACUAUGUUUGGGGCAAUAUGAUCCUUUUCUAGCCUAUAAAUAAAUGUCGUGUUAUUAUUUUCCCUUCCAUUAUUGUUUCUAGCUACUCUAAUAUACCUCCAAAGAGUUGCUGAAGAUUUAAAUUCUAUUAAAGAAAUGAUAUUUUUAUAUUCAGUUCUUUGAAUUUAUAUAGCUAUCCUAAAUUUUAGUCUCAACAUUGAUAUGCUAGAUAUUUCUUUAUAUAUAUAUAUAUAUAUACACACACACUAAAGACACAAUUAUCAUUUAUUGAUAGAUAUAUGAUUGUUUAUUUUUAUAUUUAUUUUGUCAGGUUUAUUUAUUUUAUAUAUAUCAAAACUAUCAUAAAACAUUAGAAAAUAAUUAAUUUGAUGCUCUUUAAAAUUAAAAAUACUUUCAAAAAAUACAUAAAAAAUAGAAGCAUCACCAAAUACAAAAAUAUUAAACUUUAGAACCAAAUAAUUCGUACAUUGCCAAAGUUCAACUUUUUUUUGAUAUUGUGGACUCACUCUCAAUAACCAAAUCACGGGAGAGAGUUCAUUAACGAGAUCUCUAGAAAUUGCAUAUUUAUAUAUGGGUUGAGAAAUUCUCUUUAUUAUACAGUAUAUAAUUUAUGUAAACCAAACGUCAACUGAGCAAUGAUUUUCUUUAUUGAUACCGUGAGAUCCCCUAGCCAAGACAGACAAAGUAUACCAUAAAGUUUAAUCCCAAAAAUAAUAAUAAAAAAAAAUAAAGAACUAAAAAAAAAAACUGAAGGAAUGAGAAAAAAAAACUCUAUUACAAUUCGUAGUGUUUUCUCUAUAGGUGAACAUGACUUUUGCCGGUGAGCCCACCAAGCCCCUGUCCAGAAAACUACAGAGCAUCUCCUUAAUCAUGUCCGGAUCAGACAUGGCCAACAACCUGGGCUUGACUCCAAACCGGUGGAGAAAUGUCUUCCUACUCUUCCUUGACCAUUGAUAGACGUUGGCAUGGACAAAUUGAUAUUAGGCUGUUAUCCUAGGACCUUCCGAAGAUUGGAUUGUAGGUAAGGCUAGUAUCUGUGCCCAUUUGAAAUGGUUUUGGAUUCUCCAUGGAACCCUUAAAACUGAGUGUAGGAAUUUCAAAAUGCAGAGUCUAAAGAAGAUCACAAAGAGAAGAAAAAAGCAUGGUGAAAGAAGGAUCGUGCAGUUGGCUUGAUUUGUGAGACGAGAUUGUUUUUACCAUCAUUAAAGUAAUGUGCAGCUGCAAUGGUUGGUGAAUUAUGAGGGGUGGUUGAAAAUUAUAUGAUGCUUUGUCUCCUUAAAACCAUGGGCACCCUGUAUGGAUUAUGAUGCUCAAAAAGGGUUAGUGUGGAAUCUGAUCAAGCGACUUGACACAGCCGUUGAAAGUGUUCAAAGUUUCGUAAGACUCUAAAUUUAGACGAAUUGAUAAUAACAACGUAGAACACUUGAAAGAAAAAUUGUUUACGGGGCAUUACACAGAUACAAUAAUGAAGUUCUGAGAGGGUUUUGAUUACAAUUUCAGAACAGAAGGACUAAUUAGACAUGAAUUCUGUCUUGGAAAAACAUGAGAUUUCACCAGGAAAAAAAAACCUUCCCAUUCAAAGAUUGAGAAACUUUCCAAGAUUUUACGCAAAUUGACAGGAAAUUAUAUGCCUUCGUCUGAAGCAAUCGCUGUAUCGAUGCUUGUUUCUUGUUUACUUGAAGAUGAAGCUGUGCCAGAAAGGCCUCUCUCUUGUUCACUUGAAGCAAAAGCUGUGCCAGAAAAGCCUCUUCGUAUAAAAAAGGCUGGGUUCUUAGGAACCGGCAAGUUUGCAGUUUCACUGCUAAGCAUCACAACAACAUUCGACAUGGUCGGACGGUCGGAUGGAUCAUCUUGUACGCAUAAGAGUGCAGCAUUUACACACCUCAGAAACUCAUUGGUGUUGCAAAUCUCACGUAAUGUCUCGUCCAUUAAAUCCAAUGCCUUGUCUUCUCUCCAUAAUCUCCAAGCCUGGAAUUUUGAAGUUUAAGUCAGCAUCGCUUAUCAAAUGAUAAAACAUUAUAUUAGCACCGUUGAACUUACAUAAGCUAGAAGGCUUUGGGCUUCAUCAGAAUUAAAAUAUCCGUGUUCCUUUUCCCGCUAAGAAUCUCAAGUACAACGACGCCGAAACUAAAAACAUCAGAUUUGACAGAGAAUAGGCCAUCUAAUGCGUACUCUGGCGACAUGUAGCCACUGCAUUACAACAAUUUUCACAAGAAUCAGUAACUCAGCUGGACAGACAUCUAAUUCAGCAUUAACCAUGACAUGAUUGUAGGAUUGGAGGCUGCUAAAAGAGAAUAUUUGCAUAUGAAUGUAUGUCUGAUGAAUAUCAAUGUUGAUAGGAUCUGAAACUUACUAAGUUCCAACAACUCUGUUUGUGCUCCCUUCGGUUUGUUUGCCUUCGAACAUCCUUGCCAAUCCAAAGUCAGAAAUUUUGGGAUUCAUUUCCGCAUCUAAUAGAAUGUUGCUCGUUUUCAUAUCACGAUGAAUAAUCCUGAGUCUAGAAUCUUGGUGGAGAUAAAGAAGACCUCUAGCAACUCCUAAAAUGAUAUCAAAGCGCAUCUCCCAAUUCAGUAACAUUCCCAGAUCUCGAUCUUCAGAGGUUUUCCAUUUCCAUAAGAACAAAAAUUAGAAACCAUGGGAGCUGCAAACGUACAUUUAUAAAAUAAAAAUGAUGAAUCUGUUUAGAGACUAACCAAAUAUGAAGGAAUCUAAGCUUUUGUUAGGCAUAUAUUCAUAGAGUAAAAUCUUUUCAUCUCCUUUUAUGCAGUACCUACUAGUCUGACAAGAUUCCGAUGCUGCAAUCUAGCAAUCAAAAUCACCUCAUUCUUAAACUCCUCUAGGCCUUGUCCUGAAACACUAGAGAGUCGUUUUAUUGCGAUUUCUUGACCUCCUGGAAAUUUUCCCUGAAACCAAAGUUGCCAUGCAGGUAAAAUUCAGCCAGAAAACUUGUCAGACACAAAAAUUCCAAUGAUUAACGUAAAUAUUACUUUGUAAACAGGUCCGAAGCCCCCUCUUCCAAGCUUGUUUGCUUCUGAAAAAUAAUCCGUAGCCGCUAGUACGCUGUCUAAAUCAAAUAAAGGUACAUCUAUGCCCUUCUUAUCUUCUUCGUUGAACUCUUCUGCAUCUAUCAAGUUCUUGACCCGUUUCUCAGUGCCAUACAAAACAGCUGCAUUUCUUUCAGUAUUUUGCUGGUUUUCUGAAAUUUCAACAAGACAACUGCUAAUUACAUGAGGAAUCACUUACAAACUUCAAUACCUACACGUUGAAAAUUUUUCUAGUUACCUCGUCGUUUGGCCUUCUUUCUCAUAACAAUGCAGAUGUAAAGGAAGAUGCUUGAUAGAACUAUGACACUAGCAAUUGUAACUCCUACAAUCAAAGACAAUGGUUUCUUUUUUCUCGAAUAUCCUCCUGCUUGUCCAUCGAAAACUUCAAGAAAGAAAGGAUGAAACUGGAUGAAACUUUUGGUUUUCACUACUUUUGCAGUUUGAGGCAAGAUAUAGAGUGCUCACCAUGAACACAAUUUAGAGCAUUGACAUCCCACCAAAAAAUUGAAUUGCAGAGGCAUCUCGCUGUACCAUUUCCUUUUUUAUUGCAAGUUGAAUUUGGCCAAUCGUCGCAGUCUGAAGAUGAAGAGCAGACUGGCUCUUGAGGUGGCUCCCAAACAAUAUCUAUUUCUACCAGACCUUGAGAUGGAACGUUUGAAAUAAAAUUUCCUGCCACGGUAUCACACCAGCGUUUAGAGGCGUUCAUCUUAAAUGGAAAUGACGUGUUGAACUUCCGAAUUUGACCUCUUGUACUGGCAUUACAAUCAUCUACAUCUUUCUCUUGGAUAACAAAUGUUCUUGUAUCUUGAUUGAUGGUAGUGACAUUGUAGGUGCCGUUGUGUGUCUUAAAGCUGAGUCUUCCUGUGGAAUUAUCGCAGUAGAAACUGAAGUACAUGGGGUCACCACAAUCUGAUCCAGUACUUAGAGGAUAAGGAAUCACAUUUAUGCCACAAGGCUCACAACUUUUAGCCUUUGAUUCUGCAAAACAUGGAGCUUUUUUUAAGGUAUGAGACAGUACUGAUAUUUAGUUCAGUUAUGAAUUAAGUCCACUGCUUGUGUGCAAUCUUCUAUCGUAGGAAAUUUUCCUUGACGUAAUUACAGCAUCUUGUAGUAACAAAAGGAGAAAGAACAAGUCGAAAGAAGGAAGUACCUAUGUCAGCAAUAGGGACACGAACAAAGAGAUCCAGCCCAUCAUAAGAAUAUUCCUCCUGGAGAUCUUUAAGAUCAUCCAUCCAGAUCGAGCAGGUGUUGUUGCCAGGUUGUCUGUCCCUUCGCAUAUUGACUUCCCCCUUCACAAAGGAAUAAGCUGGGCAUUGGCACUUAUCGAGACACUCCUCUCUGCAUUUCUUUUCAUCCUCAACCACAAAUGAAGCGUAUUGCUGUCCAACUCUCAUCAUCUUCAAGCUCAAGAAGGUGUCAUUCUUCCCACAUCCGGCAGCGCUUCUGAUGCAACCACCAGAGAACUCUCCAUUCCUCCAAUUUUCCUGUGAUAUAGGCUCAAAUCCUGGCAAACACCUGCAAGCCAACAUAUUGUACAGAUUGCAGCUGCCGAAGUUCCCA
Molecule: long non-coding RNA, 19262 nt
Filed under: Populus tremula
Lineage: Eukaryota; Viridiplantae; Streptophyta; Magnoliopsida; Malpighiales; Salicaceae
Description: long non-coding RNA (PTRE_LNC001596)
Source: RNAcentral